This 693-nucleotide long non-coding RNA is filed under the name Helianthus annuus (common sunflower). RNAcentral's name for it is "hypothetical non coding rna". Lineage: Eukaryota; Viridiplantae; Streptophyta; Magnoliopsida; Asterales; Asteraceae. The record is from RNAcentral.
AAACCAACAUCAUCCCAUCCACUAUUAAAAUAAAAGUAUUAAUUAACUAAUAUAUUUACGGGUUUUCUAUUGAAAGAUUAUAUCAUCUCCAUUCUCAAAUACUCCAUUUCCUCAGUUCGUAACCGUAAUUAACAAUCUUCACCACCGCCGUUUUCCCGUUAAAUUAACCGCGAUUUCACUUUCUUUCUUCAACGGUUUUCUCCUUUUCUUCAUCAACACAUGAAUUGCAAUCGUUCUUUCCAUUUUGUAAAUAACCGUUUUAAUCUGCAGACUCAUAUAAUUUGUAAUCGAACUUGAAUAAUCAUGUGCUUGUGAUUUUUGCUUAUAUUCUUGCAGGAAUUUAUUAGUGUUGUAAGUCAUCGUUCCAUUUUCGAUUUUUAAGAGCAUUUUGUUGGAACUUAUAUUCUUGCAGGAAUUUAUUAGCGUUGUAAGUCAUCGUUCCAUUUUCGAUUUUUAAGAGCAUUUUGUUGGAACGAAGAACAAACAACCAGUGACAAAGAAGAUGAACACGACCAUGAAGCAUCUGUUGGAGGAAUUUGAAGAGGUAUAUAUAUCCAUCAAAAUUUCAUUCUUUGAAAUAUAUGUUUAGUCUGAGUGCAUUUGCAUACGUUCAUAUGUUUGAUUUUGUUUCCAUAUUCAGUCUCCAUGUUUUAUUUUUUCUACACAUUCUAAAUUCAAAAUCGGGGCACUUAC